ACAGCAGCCGCCGCGGUAAUACGAAGGGUGCAAGCGUUAAUCGGAAUUACUGGGCGUAAAGCGUGCGUAGGUGGUGGUUUAAGUCCGUUGUGAAAGCCCUGGGCUCAACCUGGGAAUUGCAGUGGAUACUGGGUCACUAGAGUGUGGUAGAGGAUAGUGGAAUUUCCGGUGUAGCAGUGAAAUGCGUAGAGAUCGGAAGGAACAUCAGUGGCGAAGGCGGCCAUCUGGGACAACACUGACGCUGAGGCACGAAAGCGUGGGGAGCAAACAGGAUUAGAUAUCCCCGUAGUCCCUGUCUCUUAUAC
This 305-nucleotide ribosomal RNA is filed under the name uncultured bacterium. RNAcentral's name for it is "partial 16S ribosomal RNA". It matches the Rfam family "Bacterial small subunit ribosomal RNA", at positions 508 to 807 of the family's 1533-position model. The record is from RNAcentral.